GUCGAACGGUGAAGAGGGAGCUUGCUUCCUUGGAUCAGUGGCGAACGGGUGAGUAACACGUGAGUAACCUGCCCCGAACUCCGGGAUAACGCUGGGAAACUGGUGCUAAUACUGGAUAUGAGAUGCACCUGCAUGGGUGUGUUUGGAAAGAAUUUUGGUUCGGGAUGGACUCGCGGCCUAUCAGCUUGUUGGUGGGGUAAUGGCCUACCAAGGCGACGACGGGUAGCCGGCCUGAGAGGGUGACCGGCCACACUGGGACUGAGACACGGCCCAGACUCCUACGGGAGGCAGCAGUGGGGAAUAUUGCACAAUGGGCGAAAGCCUGAUGCAGCGACGCCGCGUGAGGGAUGACGGCCUUCGGGUUGUAAACCUCUUUCAGUAGGGAAGAAGCGAAAGUGACGGUACCUGCAGAAGAAGCGCCGGCUAACUACGUGCCAGCAGCCGCGGUAAUACGUAGGGCGCAAGCGUUGUCCGGAAUUAUUGGGCGUAAAGAGCUCGUAGGCGGUUUGUCGCGUCUGCUGUGAAAACGCGAGGCUCAACCUCGCGCCUGCAGUGGGUACGGGCAGACUAGAGUGUGGUAGGGGAGACUGGAAUUCCUGGUGUAGCGGUGGAAUGCGCAGAUAUCAGGAGGAACACCGAUGGCGAAGGCAGGUCUCUGGGCCACUACUGACGCUGAGGAGCGAAAGCAUGGGUAGCGAACAGGAUUAGAUACCCUGGUAGUCCAUGCCGUAAACGUUGGGAACUAGGUGUGGGGUCAGUUCCACUGAUUCUGUGCCGCAGCUAACGCAUUAAGUUCCCCGCCUGGGGAGUACGGCCGCAAGGCUAAAACUCAAAGGAAUUGACGGGGGCCCGCACAAGCGGCGGAGCAUGCGGAUUAAUUCGAUGCAACGCGAAGAACCUUACCAAGGCUUGACAUACACGAGAACGUGUUUAGAGAUAACGCACUCUUUGGACACUCGUGUACAGGUGGUGCAUGGGUUGUCGUCAGCUCGUGUCGUGAGAUGUUGGGUUAAGUCCCGCAACGAGCGCAACCCUCGUCCUAUGUUUGCCAGCACGUAAUGGUGGGGACUCCAUAGNAGACUGCCGGGGUCAACUCGGAGGAAGGUGGGGAUGACGUCAAAUCAUCAUGCCCCUUAUGUCUUGGGCUUCACGCAUGCUACAAUGGCCGGUACAAAGGGCUGCGAUACCGCGAGGUGGAGCGAAUCCCAGAAAGCCGGUCUCAGUUCGGAUUGGGGUCUGCAACUCGACCCCAUGAAGUCGGAGUCGCUAGUAAUCGCAGAUCAGCAACGCUGCG
Molecule: ribosomal RNA, 1294 nt
Filed under: Occultella aeris
Lineage: Bacteria; Bacillati; Actinomycetota; Actinomycetes; Micrococcales; Ruaniaceae
Description: 16S ribosomal RNA
Rfam family: Bacterial small subunit ribosomal RNA
Source: RNAcentral